Molecule: RNA transcript, 3909 nt
Organism: Sceloporus undulatus (fence lizard)
Lineage: Eukaryota; Metazoa; Chordata; Lepidosauria; Squamata; Phrynosomatidae
Gene: GNPDA2
Gene name: glucosamine-6-phosphate deaminase 2
Exons: 7
Source: RefSeq, a predicted model, not a curated record
CUAUUCUUUUCUGUAAGUGUUAUAAAUAUCAGCUCUUUUCCUGUGGUAGAUUUUGGCAUUUUGGCAGAUGCCUGUGUGUGGUGGCUUCCUGUCUGACAACUUUGGGAAGAAAAAUCUAUGCUUGUGGAAUGCCUUUGUGCAGCUUGUAGAGAUCAUAACAGUAUCUGGGGUGAUUCCUGUUCAGCCUCGAACUUUAGAAACCCUCUCACUCAGCACUAAAUGCUCAUGACUCUUGUGCUAGAGCUUGGGGAAAUGAUUUUGCAGCUUCCAGAAUCCCCUAGUCAGCAUAACUUGUGGCUGUGUUGGCUAGCGUAUUCUGGGGGUUGAAGGCCAAAAAAGUAACUUUUCUAAGUUCUAUUUGUGAGCUUUGAAGCCCAGCUGAGAUUCCUAUUGAUAUACAGUGAAUAUAUAGCAAAUACAUAGACUGGAUAAGAUGUCUAGCUUUGUUGUCUACCUGAGAGUGCAAAAAACAAGUGGCUCUAUCAAGCUUCGAAAGUAUGAACUUUAUUUAUAUCCCACCAUUCUCCCAAAACUGGGAUUCAAAGCACUUCACAAAUUAAAAUAAGUGUAAUGCGGUUGAAACAUAAAAAAGAUUGAUGCUGAAAUAGAAUCAAGCUAUGAACAGGAUUUAAAAAGUAAUUUAAAAUAUACAAUUAAACAUGAUAAAAGGUCAGUUAAAAACAAUAGAAUUAAAACCAUGCAACACCUUCUUUAAAGUAUUGUCUUUAAAACUGAGUUCUCAAAAUCCUGUUAUCAAAACCCUGUUUUCACUUUCUGGUGGAAGGAUUCAGUUGUCGCUAGGAAGGGAAUUCUAGAGCCUAGAGGCAGCCACCAAGAAAGCUGUAUCUUGCAUCCUGACCAGUGAAUGUGAUGGGACUGCGAGAAGAGUCCUCCCUCCAAUGAUCUCAGGCCCAAGUAUGCUCAUUUUGGGAGAUACAGUCCGUCAGAUAGCCUAGAAUUAAGCUAUAUAGGUUUUUGUAAGUCAUAACCAGAACUCUGAAUUGUGCCAGUAAAUAGAUGCAACCAGUGGAGCUCUUAUAGGAAGGCAGUUGUAUGGUUCCACUAACUUUACAUGGCAACUGGACAUUGUUUGGCUCACAAAUUGCAACUGCUUGGCUUGAAACAUCCCUGUUUGCAAUAACUGUAUUAAAUUGUUUUCUCCUCCAUAGUGAUCUCAUCCUUUCUUUAAAAGAUGAGGCUGGUCAUACUUGAUAAUUACGAUCUCGCUAGCGAAUGGGCUGCAAAGUACAUCUGCAAUCGCAUCAUCCAGUUCAAGCCGAGUCAGAGCAGAUAUUUCACUCUUGGCUUACCAACAGGUAGUACACCUCUGGGAUGCUACCAGAAGCUAAUAGAAUAUCACAAAAGAGGAGAUCUGUCUUUCAAAUAUGUGAAGACAUUCAACAUGGAUGAAUAUGUGGGGCUUCCCAGAAAUCAUCCAGAGAGCUACCAUUCAUACAUGUGGAACAAUUUCUUCAAGCAUAUUGACAUAGAUCCAAACAAUGCUCAUAUUCUUGACGGAAAUGCUCCAGAUCUAAAGGCAGAGUGUGACGCAUUUGAAAAAAAAAUAGAAGAAGCUGGGGGGAUAGACCUAUUUGUUGGAGGUAUUGGUCCAGAUGGUCACAUAGCUUUCAACGAACCAGGGUCAAGUUUGGUAUCGAGGACAAGACUGAAGACACUAGCCAUGGACACAAUUUUGGCAAAUGCAAAAUAUUUUGAUGGCGACUUAACUAAAGUUCCAACAAUGGCAUUAACAGUUGGUGUGGGGACAGUGAUGGACGCCAGAGAAGUGAUGAUUCUAAUCACUGGUGCACACAAAGCUUUUGCCUUGUACAAGGCAAUUGAAGAAGGGGUCAAUCAUAUGUGGACAGUUUCUGCUUUUCAGCAACAUCCACACACUAUCUUUGUAUGUGAUGAAGAUGCAACAUUAGAACUAAGAGUGAAAACUGUCAAGUAUUUUAAAGGUCUAAUGCAUGUGCACAAUAAACUUGUGGACCCUCUAUAUAGUAUGAAAGAACAAAAAUGACGGACAACCCAUGCUGGACCCCACCUCUGACCCUGGCGGUGUUACUAAGUAGCAGACAAAUUUACUGCUAUGCAAUAUGCUGAAAACUGGCUAAGAUCUCUUUUGCCUGUUACAUGCUGUAUUCUGCUGGAAACCAGUGGAACAUUCUGAACUUAAAGAGUGCAGGCGUAAACAAGCUCUCCACAAAUGUAAUUUAAAUAUAGAACUCUAUCUUUUUAUUUUGUCUCAAGGCCUUUUUUUCUUGGCAUGUGUAAAAUAACCAAUGAACUAUUAAAUGGGCACUUUACUGUGGAAUGGUUACACACAACUGUUACACCGAAUAUCAGCUGUAGUUAUUUUUAUAAAUGGGGGGAAAGGAUUCUACAUAUCAUAAAUGCAUCCUAUAACCUUUAAAUCAUCAUCAUAGUAAGAGUCAAGUAAGAAUUAAACUUGAGCAAAGUUUAAUAUAGAUCUGUUCUGGCAAAAAUGCAUUUAUACAUAGCUGGUUUUAAAGGGGGAAUUUCUUCCCAAGGUCACAAGAUGAGAAGAAUCUUGGAAAAGCUAGAUUUGGAAACACUGAAAAGUUGUACUCUUCUAAAAAGGAAGAACUAAAUUAGAUCACACAGGGGCAGUUAGUCCAUUAGUCCUCAUUGGAAAAAGUUAAAUGCGUAUUUUCCUUUCACAUUCUUCUAGGGCCACAUGUAGGCCUGAACGGAUGUUUAUCAUAACAGGAAUAAGAGCUGCUUUACACAAGUAUGUAUACCACAUUAUUCUUGGGCAAGAGCCACAGCUCAGUUGCUGGGCACAUUUACUAUAUAUUCUGGCCACUACACUCAUUUGGUGGCCUUUCAUUCAGGGAUGCAAGAGACUUUGGAGGGUCCCUAGAAACUAAACAGUUGGUUUCAGUUUAAGUGAACUACACAAACAAAACAAAUCAAGCUGGACAAGUGCCCUCAAAAAUAUUAUGUGGGGUGAAAUGAAAGUUCUGCUUAAUUGAUGGGACCUCAUUUUCAUGUAUGACCAUGCAACCAAGCAUGCUUGUGAAAAGCUUUCUGCUCUCAAGUGUAUUGCUUCUAAAUCAAAUAAAACCACUAUUAAAUUUGAAAUGUUAUUCUUUGUGGGGAAGCAGAUUAGCUGGUAGUAACAGAAAUCUGUUUAAGUGACUUCAUUUUGCUGGCAUCACCUAUGUCCCAAGUAUUUAGGGACACUCGCUGAAGGCAGGGCUUUUCAAUUCUGCCUGCAAGCCUAUUCCUGUGUAGUCAGAGGAUAAAAUGUAAAUCAUACUGAGAUGAGCGGUGUGUGGCCCUCCAGAUGGUGUCUCCCAUCAUCCCUCACCACUGGUUAUGCAGCCUGGGUCUCCUCAAUUGCCAUCCAGUAGCAGCCUAAGGCCAUAAAUUUCCCCAUCCUGUUCUAUAAGAUACUGAGACUGAUUAGUUUGCAUUAACAGCAUUUUAACACCGUUAUCAGAAUGACUGCAACUUCCACCCACAUGAAUCUGUCCACAAACCAUCCUUAGAAGGAGUCUAGUUCUGUCUACCAUCAUUGCCUUGAGGUCCUGACUGUCACAAGCCUUUUGGCAAAGUAGAAAAUUUGUAAAACCCUUUGCCCCAUGACAUGCAGCUAACUUUUCAUGUAGUUACGCUGGGGUGUCAACUAGCACUUUUGUUUGGAUGCGCCUUCCUAUAAUGUACUGUAGCUCCUUGCUUAGAUUUUGGUUUGGCGACACUCUGCAGAAAUUAACUAUCCUCAUACAAGCAAAGGAGAAACCUAGGACACACCUCUGGUUGUCUAAUGAUGUCAUGGGGAUGUGGGUUCUGUGACAGAAAUGAAAGGUUAUUAAUAAGUUUGCAUAGACAUUGAUAUCUGCCACCUUAUGUGUAAUGUUUAUUUGGUCUUGUAUGUCACUA